UGGGGCAGGCGUGAGCCCGUCUCUCUCCUGCCCUGGCCUAGGUGGUGGCAGCGGUGGCUCCACAUGCGGGCGGUGGCCGUGGAACCGCAGCCCUGCAGCUGCUGCAGGCGCUGCCCAGCAUGAUCCACAGAGCCGUGGGGGCGAGCUGGGCCGCRGAGAUCCCCCUGCUGCUGCAGCACCUGGCAGGAACAACCGCCAGCUCCCUGGACGUGGCUGAGUGGGAGAGCCUUCUGCUGAAGGUACGACGUCCCUGAGGGGGUCCCAGCUGGAUGGGGCAAACGGGGGUCAGGAAAAGUGGUGGGAGGAA
This 307-nucleotide long non-coding RNA is filed under the name Apteryx owenii (little spotted kiwi). RNAcentral's name for it is "lncRNA (ENSAOWG00000008960.1)". Lineage: Eukaryota; Metazoa; Chordata; Aves; Apterygiformes; Apterygidae. The record is from RNAcentral.